Molecule: long non-coding RNA, 899 nt
Organism: Nothoprocta perdicaria
Lineage: Eukaryota; Metazoa; Chordata; Aves; Tinamiformes; Tinamidae
Exons: 2
Source: RefSeq, a predicted model, not a curated record
UGAGCAGGAAUAUUUUUUGGACACCUGAGACCGGGGGAGCAGCCCUGGCACUGGCAGCAAUGAACACGAGCCCUUUUGUGAUCCCCAGACACUCAGCAUAGCUGCAGUCAGCAGCAACUUGUGCCGUGGUCAGUAGUGAUGGGCUGUUUAAUGCAUUUCCAGUAUGGCUUUCUAAUUUACCGAGCCCUAAAUUGCAGCCUGUUGCACGUGGCUGUGGAUUGAGGCUGCUUUUGGACAGCUCUGCUAUGAUCGUGGCUUGGGGCAGGGACAGACGGGGCAUCUUGGAGGAGGCAUCAGCAGCACGUGUGGCCAGCAGCUGAGAAAGCUGAAACGCAGCGGCUGCCACCGCCUAAAUGGUGGCUGUGGAGGGGGUAUUUGUCGCAGCCACGCACGCGCACUUGCACUUUGCUCCUCUUAGGACUGGUCUCGUUGCCAUCUUGCACAGUCCUGCCUGCCUCACUUCUCCCCUUACUCCUUAACCAGCCUUCCUCCUUCCCCAUCCGAGUCCCACACGGGCUUCUUGGAGCCUGUGCUGAGAAGUCCAUUUCUGACCCAGUUCCAGACACUUUACCUUUUCUUUCCUGGGACCGUGGAUGCUCUGAUUUCCCCUGCUGUCUUUCUCCUGCCUCUGCAGAAUGUGCUGAAAGGAGCAGGGAUCUCACUUGGCUUUUCUUAGGAGGAGGAAAGAGAAGGCUCUGAGGCUAUUAUUAGAUGUGGGGACUUAAAAGGUAAAUAGAUUUCAGCUGUGAUAUUGGGCAGCUACAACCAGCAGCAACCUACCCGAGCUGGAAGAGUGUGAGCAGGCUGCAGCAGGACUGGAGAACGUGCUGUCCUCCUUCCUGCUGCCCCUGCAGCUUUGCCCUCAUCCUCUGCCCAUGGCUCUGCUUGGAGCCAYGCGG